Molecule: unclassified non-coding RNA, 480 nt
Filed under: Hevea brasiliensis (rubber tree)
Lineage: Eukaryota; Viridiplantae; Streptophyta; Magnoliopsida; Malpighiales; Euphorbiaceae
Source: RNAcentral
AACAAAACACAAUACAAUACAACAUAACAUUAUACAAUACGAUAGAUAUUUGUAUCGUGCCCUAGCUUAUACUAGUACUAGAGUUCACUUGUAUUUAAUCUUUUGAGUAAUGUAAUUAUUACAUUACUUGCGUGAGAGUCCCUUCCAAAGUUUAAAUCCACCAUAAGUGACAAGGCACAUUGCCUUAAUUGCAAGGCCCAAAUGACCAAAUGCACCUGCCGUAGAAGCCACUGAGCCCACUGCCGUGGAAAUGGGAACAUUGAAUUUAGCUGCUUUAUCUAUUAUAUCACCCACAUUACAUGUUACACCAACCACAUCACCAAACCUAUUCAUUUUUUCUAGCGCACCACGGAGACGAUGCUCCGACGAUGGGUCUGAAUCAACAAUACCGCGAGGAUCCUUGAGGUACCUGUACAAGACGUAGCAAACCUCAUCAAAAGUGGGGAGACGACGCUUUGAUGAUAUUGUUUGCUUGAUGAA